GCUGCUGUGUGACUGUCAGGUGUGUUGUGCUGCAGCCGGAGCCGAGCCUGCAGACGUGAUCUACGCCGACAUCAGCAUCACGGAGGAGGUGCAGCCAAAGAGAGAGACAGAUGUGUCCGCUCCACCUUCUCCCUACUCUGCAAUAAAAACAGGUGGCAGAAAGCAGAAGACUCUGACUCACCUGGAUCCUUCCUUUUCAUACUGAAUUUCUUCUUUUCUUUGUGAAGAUAUCCUGGACCUGCUCUUUCUCUUUUUUUUUUUUCUUCUUGUUGUAUGUCUCCUCUGCUGUGACAGUUGUUUAUUACCCGCACAAAUAAAAACUGAAACUGAGCCACUGAA
Molecule: long non-coding RNA, 339 nt
Organism: Myripristis murdjan (pinecone soldierfish)
Lineage: Eukaryota; Metazoa; Chordata; Actinopteri; Holocentriformes; Holocentridae
Exons: 3
Source: RefSeq, a predicted model, not a curated record